Molecule: long non-coding RNA, 1043 nt
Filed under: Macaca mulatta (Rhesus monkey)
Lineage: Eukaryota; Metazoa; Chordata; Mammalia; Primates; Cercopithecidae
Description: lncRNA (ENSMMUG00000062853.1)
Source: RNAcentral
CUGGGUUCCAGCGAUUCUCCUGCCUCAGCCCCCUGAGUAGCUGGGAUUACAGGUGCAUGCCACUACGCCCAGCUAGUCUGGUAUUUUUUGUAGAGAUGGGGUUUCACCAUGUUGGCCAGGCUGAUCUCGAACUCCUGACCUCCUGCCUCAUCCUCCCAAAGUGUUGGGAUUACAGGGGUGAGCUGCUGCACCCAGCCCUUUCCCUCCUUUUUACUGCCUAGAAUGUGGACACAAUGGCUGGAGCUUCAGCAGUUAUUUUGGACCAUGAAGGAAAAAUAAACAAUUUUUUUAAAGUUGUUUUGUUUUUGUUUAGUUCAUGGUCUCUGGAGUUCGAUUUCUGUUAUUCACAGCUGCACCUAAUUUUGUUAAGUCUUUCCUAUUAAUUGUGUAACUUGGGGUAAAACUGGCUCAGACCUUCUGUUUCCUCAGCUGUGAGACGGGAUUGCAUCUUCAUGUUGCAUUAUGCUGGUGGCUUUCAAACUUGAGCAUGCGUCAGAAUCCCCUUGGCAUAUUAAAACAGAGUGCUGGCCCCCACCCGCAGAAUUUCCGAUUAAGUAGCAACCUGAAAACCGGUAAGUCUAACAAGUUCCUAGAUGCUGCCGCAGCUGCUGCAGGUCAGAACCACGCUGAGGCCUGCAGCCCCCACGGGGAAUGACCUAGGAAGGUCUAAAUUGCCAUACUCAGCCAGCGUGUUUGGCUUCCCUCCCAUUUAACAAGAUUUAUGCAUCCUGUCAAACAUGCUGCCAGUCACCUCUGGCCUCUUCUAUGCCUGCUCCUUGGCUUCAGGGACCCUGAUCCCCAGUUUCUGGAACAGUGAAUCGGAUGCAAAUGCUGUUUACAGAGGGAUCCGGCGGUGGCCCAUCCCCAGGAGGGACUCCCAUGUGACAAGCCCGGCCUCUGACCCACUCCUCCACUGCAAGGAAAUGAUCCCCACUCCAAUGCGUCACGGAGCAGCCCAUCACAUGGGUCAUUCAGCGGAAGAACUACCUUCUGGACCCUUCCUUCUGCCACCAUAUGCCAUUCUGCUAUUUGCAGAGCUGUGA